AUACUUACUUGGCGGGGGACAUACCGUGAUCACCAAGGUGGUUUUUCCUAGAGUGAGGCUUAUACAUUGCAUUUCAGGUGCGCCGACCCCUGUGAUUUUUCCAAAUGUGGGAAAAUUGACUGCAUAAUUUGUGGUAGUAGGAGACCAUGUUCACCCUCUCCCA
Small nuclear RNA from Pteronotus mesoamericanus, 163 nucleotides. RefSeq annotates it as U1 spliceosomal RNA. NCBI's taxonomy places the organism in Eukaryota, Metazoa, Chordata, Mammalia, Chiroptera, Mormoopidae. The transcript has a single exon. The record is from RefSeq and is a predicted model, not a curated record.